This 420-nucleotide ribosomal RNA is filed under the name uncultured marine eukaryote. RNAcentral's name for it is "SSU rRNA". It matches the Rfam family "Eukaryotic small subunit ribosomal RNA", at positions 612 to 1037 of the family's 1831-position model. The record is from RNAcentral.
GUUGCGGUUAAAACGCUCGUAGUCGAAUUCUUGCUAGGUGGUACUGGUGCUUCCCAGUGAAGUAUACGCGGUUUCCGCUUCAGCUAUUACUUGGGGAAGGUGCAUACGCUUCGGUGCGUGUCACACUAUCCAAGUCCUUACUUUGAGGAAAUGAGAGUGUUCCAAGCAGGCGCAUGCCUUGAAUAUGAUAGCAUGGAAUAACAGUAUGAGACCUCCUUUCAAAGUUGUUGGUUUUUUGGAAUUAGGAAAUGAAAACAUGGAUGGUUGGGGGUAUUCGUAUUUAACUGUCAGAGGUGAAAUUCUUGGAUUUUUUAAAGACAAACUAUUGCGAAGGCAUUUACCCAGGAUGUUCUCAUUGAUCAAGAACGAAAGUUAGGGGAUCGAAGACGAUCAGAUACCGUCCUAGUCUUAACCAUAAAA